This 680-nucleotide ribosomal RNA is filed under the name uncultured bacterium. RNAcentral's name for it is "bacterial SSU rRNA". It matches the Rfam family "Bacterial small subunit ribosomal RNA", at positions 8 to 722 of the family's 1533-position model. The record is from RNAcentral.
AGAGUUUGAUCAUGGCUCAGAAUCAACGCUGGCGGCGCGCUUAACACAUGCAAGUCGCACGAGAAAGGGGGCAACCCUGAGUACAGUGGCGUACGGGUGAGUAACACGUGGAUUAUCUACCUUUUAGUGGGGAAUACCUCUGGGAAACCGGAGACAAUACCGCAUAAGCUCGUAAGAGGAAAGCAGCAAUGCGCUGAAAGAGGAGUCCGCGGCUGAUUAGCUAGUUGGCGGGGUAACGGCCCACCAAGGCGAAGAUCGGUAGCCGGCCUGAGAGGGCACACGGCCACACUGGCACUGAAAUACGGGCCAGACUCCUACGGGAGGCAGCAGUGGGGAAUCUUGCACAAUGGAGGCAACUCUGAUGCAGCGACGCCGCGUGAGCGAUGAAGCCCUUCGGGGUGUAAAGCUCUUUCGACGGGGAAGAUUAUGACGGUACCCGGAGAAGAAGCUGCGGCUAACUACGUGCCAGCAGCCGCGGUAAUACGUAGGCAGCAAGCGUUGUUCGGAAUUAUUGGGCGUAAAGAGUGCGUAGGCGGUGUUCCAAGUCUGUCGUGAAAUCUCCCGGCUUAACUGGGAGGGUGCGGCGGAAACUGGAACGCUAGAGGGUGGGAGAGGUAAGCGGAAUUCCUGGUGUAGCGGUGAAAUGCGUAGAUAUCAGGAGGAACACCUGUGGUGUAGAC